This 383-nucleotide ribosomal RNA is filed under the name Klebsiella pneumoniae. Its description in RNAcentral is "bacterial SSU rRNA". It matches the Rfam family "Bacterial small subunit ribosomal RNA", at positions 872 to 1255 of the family's 1533-position model. The record is from RNAcentral. Lineage: Bacteria; Pseudomonadati; Pseudomonadota; Gammaproteobacteria; Enterobacterales; Enterobacteriaceae.
CCUGGGGAGUACGGCCGCAAGGUUAAAACUCAAAUGAAUUGACGGGGGCCCGCACAAGCGGUGGAGCAUGUGGUUUAAUUCGAUGCAACGCGAAGAACCUUACCUGGUCUUGACAUCCACAGAACUUUCCAGAGAUGGAUAGGUGCCUUCGGGAACUGUGAGACAGGUGCUGCAUGGCUGUCGUCAGCUCGUGUUGUGAAAUGUUGGGUUAAGUCCCGCAACGAGCGCAACCCUUAUCCUUUGUUGCCAGCGGUCCGGCCGGGAACUCAAAGGAGACUGCCAGUGAUAAACUGGAGGAAGGUGGGGAUGACGUCAAGUCAUCAUGGCCCUUACGACCAGGGCUACACACGUGCUACAAUGGCAUAUACAAAGAGAAGCGACCU